ACCGCCCGUCACACCAUGGGAGUUGGUUUUACCCGAAGCCGGUGCGCGAACCGCAAGGAUGCAGCCGACCACGGUGAGAUUCAUGACUGGGGUG
This 94-nucleotide ribosomal RNA is filed under the name uncultured bacterium. RNAcentral describes it as "partial 16S ribosomal RNA". It matches the Rfam family "Bacterial small subunit ribosomal RNA", at positions 1389 to 1482 of the family's 1533-position model. The record is from RNAcentral.